UUUGUGGUUUAUUCAUCACAGCAACCUUCUUUUGCUUAAUCUACUUUCCUUUACUUCUAAAAAGUGAAAAAUCGACUCAGAAGUCAGAAUACCAAAAGGACAAAAGAAAUUAUGUUUUGCCAUUUUCGUUGUUUUCUUGUGUCUCUUGAUUUUAUUUCUGACAAUUUCAAUUUUCUGUUGAUCGGUUUUACUUGGAAAGGGAAAAAAGGCAUACAAACCAAUUGUACACCGGCAUUUUUUUUCUCCUAAAGAAGCAAAAGAAAAUGAAAAUAUUUUCAUACUGCUACGUUUUUCUUCAAGUGUAGUCUCGAUCACGAGCUAAGAUAGAAGAAGCAGACGAAUUGGUAAGCUGAAGGUGCCGUGGCGAUGGAGAUACUCACUGCGAUUAUUCCUAAAAUAAUUGACUACACAAUUAGACCAGUUGGACGCCAAGUGGGUUAU
This 441-nucleotide small RNA is filed under the name Malus domestica (apple). RNAcentral's name for it is "sRNA MD13G0174100". The record is from RNAcentral. Lineage: Eukaryota; Viridiplantae; Streptophyta; Magnoliopsida; Rosales; Rosaceae.